AGUGAACGCUGGCGGUAGGCCUAACACAUGCAAGUCGAACGGCAGCACAGUAAGAGCUUGCUCUUACGGGUGGCGAGUGGCGGACGGGUGAGGAAUACAUCGGAAUCUACUUUUUCGUGGGGGUUAACGUAGGGAAACUUACGCUAAUACCGCAUACGACCUUCGGGUGAAAGCAGGGGAUAUUUGGACCUUGCGCGAUUGAAUGCGCCGAUGUCGGAUUUGCUAGUUGGGGGGGUAAUGGCCAACCAAGGCGACGAUCCGUGGCCGGUGUGAGAGGAUGAUCAGCCACACUGGAACGGAGACACGGUCCAGGCUCCUACGGGAGGCAGCAGUGGGGAAUAGUGGACAAUGGGCGCAAGCCUGAUCCAGCCAGACCGCGUGGGUGAAGGAGGCCUUCGGGUUGUAAAGCCCUUUUGUUGGUAAAGAAAAGCAGCAGGUUAAUACCCCGCUGUUCUGACGGUACCCAAAGAAUAAGCACCGGCUAACUUCGUG
RNAcentral lists this ribosomal RNA (492 nucleotides) under uncultured bacterium. RNAcentral's name for it is "partial 16S ribosomal RNA". It matches the Rfam family "Bacterial small subunit ribosomal RNA", at positions 29 to 507 of the family's 1533-position model. The record is from RNAcentral.